RNAcentral lists this ribosomal RNA (200 nucleotides) under uncultured bacterium. RNAcentral's name for it is "partial 16S ribosomal RNA". It matches the Rfam family "Bacterial small subunit ribosomal RNA", at positions 28 to 232 of the family's 1533-position model. The record is from RNAcentral.
GAUGAACGCUGGCGGCAGGCCUAACACAUGCAAGUCGAGCGGUUGAGGUAGCUUGCUACCGAUGCAGCGGCGAACGGGUGAGUAAUACAUGGGAAUCUGCCUGGUAGUGGGGGACAACGCUUCGAAAGGAACGCUAAUACCGCAUACGCCCUACGGGGGAAAGGGGGGGAUCGCAAGACCUCUCGCUAUCAGAUGAGCCC